UUCAAAUCCUAGCCGAGGCAAACAAUUGCUAGGUGAUUUCUUCCCAUAUGCCUAAGAAUUGGUGGUUGAGUUACUUGAUACCGGUUCUUUUAGGAUUUAGCAGGUAUUAGGUGAAAUAGUUGAGGUGCGCAAAAGCUCGCCGGACGACCUCCAUUAUAUAUGUAAAAAAGAGAUGUAAGUGUAGCUUUUAUGGUAAUAUAAAGUAUUUGGAAUAAAUUGAGGUCAUACAAAGUGGCUAAUGAUUGAAUCAUUGGUCUGAUUCAUCUCUUAUGAAUAUAACAUUUUCCCCAUGAAUCUUCCAUAGGAACCCAGUUCCAUAAGAGCUGCUCUUGCAAUUACCAUUUAUAGAAGAGUUUCUUGUAAAACUAUACUCAUAAAAUGUAUAUAUUGUGGAAAAUGUGCAAAGCCUUCACAAUGAUGUCAAAGGCUUGUUUCUAUGUUUGCAAUCUUAUUAUGUUCAAUUAGUGUGCCAUAGGCCACUUUGCUAGUAUUGCGCUUGGAUUUCUUAUUCAUUAGUCAAUGCAGUGUGCAUCGACGGCUAAUAUCACUUCUUGUUUUCUUUAAUAUAAGCUACAACUAGAUUUAGGUCUGGCGCUUCCUUCCUUGUGAGCAGCAAUGCUUGUAUUUUUCGAGAAGAUGGUGCGAACACAUUUAUGAUACAUUGAUUACAAUUACUUUUUACAGUUCAGAGACUUGAUGUCUUGGGGCAGCUGGGUGGUACCCCAAGCUUUAUGUUGCAUCCACCAAAAGAAGAAAUGGUUGAAAAGUAUUUCCACCCAGAUAACAUGUCAUCUGAG
Molecule: non-coding RNA, 797 nt
Organism: Nicotiana tabacum (common tobacco)
Lineage: Eukaryota; Viridiplantae; Streptophyta; Magnoliopsida; Solanales; Solanaceae
Source: RefSeq, a predicted model, not a curated record